RNAcentral lists this ribosomal RNA (468 nucleotides) under uncultured bacterium. Its description in RNAcentral is "partial 16S ribosomal RNA". It matches the Rfam family "Bacterial small subunit ribosomal RNA", at positions 28 to 507 of the family's 1533-position model. The record is from RNAcentral.
GACGAACGCUGGCGGCGUGCUUAACACAUGCAAGUCGAACGGACAGGCCCUGCUUUUGUGGGGUGCUCGAGUGGCGAACGGGUGAGUAACACGUGAGUAACCUGCCCUUGUCUUUGGGAUAACUUCAGGAAACUGGGGCUAAUACCGGAUAGGAGCUCCUGCUGCAUGGUGGGGGUUGGAAAGUUUCGGUGGUUGGGGCUGGACUCGCGGCUUAUCCGCUUGUUGGUGGGGUAGUGGUUUACCAAGGCUGUGACGGAUAGGCGGCCUGGGAGGGUGGCCGGCCACAUGGGGACUGAGAUAGGGCGCAGUCGCCUACGGGAGGCAGCGGGGGGGAAUAUUGCACAAUGGGCGGAAGCCUGAUGCGGCAACGCCGCGUGCGGGAUGACGUCCUUCGGGUUGUAAACCGCUUUCGCCUGUGACGAAGCGUGAGUGACGGUAAUGGGUAAAGAAGCACCGGCUAACUACGUG